This 603-nucleotide ribosomal RNA is filed under the name uncultured Bacteroidota bacterium. Its description in RNAcentral is "bacterial SSU rRNA". It matches the Rfam family "Bacterial small subunit ribosomal RNA", at positions 8 to 612 of the family's 1533-position model. The record is from RNAcentral. Lineage: Bacteria; Pseudomonadati; Bacteroidota.
AGAGUUUGAUCAUGGCUCAGGAUGAACGCUAGCGGCAGGCCUAAUACAUGCAAGUCGAACGGUAAGGUUCCUUCGGGAAUACACGAGUGGCGCACGGGUGCGUAACGCGUAUGCAACCUACCUAUUACAGAGGGAUAGCCAGUGGAAACAUUGAUUAAUACCUCAUGGUACUAUAAAGCUGCAUAGUUUAAUAGUUAAAGAUUUAUCGGUAAUAGAUGGGCAUGCGUAUGAUUAGCUAGUUGGUAAGGUAACGGCUUACCAAGGCAACGAUCAUUAGGGGUUCUGAGAGGAUGAUCCCCCACACUGGUACUGAGAUACGGACCAGACUCCUACGGGAGGCAGCAGUAGGGAAUAUUGGGCAAUGGAGGCAACUCUGACCCAGCCAUGCCGCGUGCAGGAAGACGGCCCUCUGGGUUGUAAACUGCUUUUUUACUAGAAGAAAAUUCCUUGCGAGGAACUAUGACGGUAUAGUAAGAAUAAGCACCGGCUAACUCCGUGCCAGCAGCCGCGGUAAUACGGAGGGUGCAAGCGUUGUCCGGAUUUACUGGGUUUAAAGGGUGCGUAGGCGGCUCUUUAAGUCAGUGGUGAAAUCCUCCGGCUUAA